ACAUCCAGCGAACUUGGCAGAGAUGCCUUGGUGCCUUCGGAACGCUGAGACAGGUGCUGCAUGGCUGUCGUCAGCUCGUGUUGUGAAAUGUUGGGUUAAGUCCCGCAACGAGCGCAACCCUUAUCCUUUGUUGCCAGCGAUUCGGUCGGGAACUCAAAGGAGACUGCCGGUGAUAAACCGGAGGAAGGUGGGGAUGACGUCAAGUCAUCAUGGCCCUUACGAGUAGGGCUACACACGUGCUACAAUGGCGCAUACAAAGAGAAGCGACCUCGCGAGAGCAAGCGGACCUCAUAAAGUGCGUCGUAGUCCGGAUCGGAGUCUGCAACUCGACUCCGUGAAGUCGGAAUCGCUAGUAAUCGUGGAUCAGAAUGCCACGGUGAAUACGUUCCCGGGCCUUGUACACACCGCCCGUCACACCAUGGGAGUGGGUUGCAAAAGAAGUAGGUAGCUUAACCUUCGGGAGGGCGCUUACCACUUUGUGAUUCAUGACUGGGGUGAAGUCGUAACAAGGUAGGCGUAGCGAG
This 524-nucleotide ribosomal RNA is filed under the name uncultured bacterium. Its description in RNAcentral is "bacterial SSU rRNA". It matches the Rfam family "Bacterial small subunit ribosomal RNA", at positions 984 to 1509 of the family's 1533-position model. The record is from RNAcentral.